GACGAACGCUGGCGGCGUGCUUAACACAUGCAAGUCGAACGGACAGGCCCUGCUUUUGUGGGGUUCUCGUUUGGCGAGCGGGUGAGUGACACGUGUGUAUCCUGCCCUUGUCUUUGUGAUAACUUCUGGGAACUGCGGCUAUUACCGGAUAGGAGCUCCUGCUGCAUAUGGGUGGUUGGAGAAUGUCGGCUGUUGGGGAUGUACUGGCGGGUUAUCAGCUUGUUGGUGGGGUAGUGACUUACCAAGGCUGUGACGGGUAGCCGGCAUGGGAGGUUGACCGGGCACAAGAGGACUGAGAGACGGCGCAGACUCCAACGGGAGGCAGCAGGGGGGAGUAUUGCACAAUGGGGGGAAGUCUGAGGUAGAAACGCUGCGUGCGUGAUGACGUCUUUCGGGUGGUAAACCGAUGUCGCCGGUGACGAAGCGUGAGUGACGGUAAUGGGUAAAGAAGCACCGGCUAACUACGUG
This 468-nucleotide ribosomal RNA is filed under the name uncultured bacterium. RNAcentral describes it as "partial 16S ribosomal RNA". It matches the Rfam family "Bacterial small subunit ribosomal RNA", at positions 28 to 507 of the family's 1533-position model. The record is from RNAcentral.